GGUGUCUUGGAGUGCUGAUCGGACACC
RNAcentral lists this unclassified non-coding RNA (27 nucleotides) under synthetic construct. The record is from RNAcentral.